This 492-nucleotide ribosomal RNA is filed under the name uncultured bacterium. RNAcentral describes it as "partial 16S ribosomal RNA". It matches the Rfam family "Bacterial small subunit ribosomal RNA", at positions 29 to 507 of the family's 1533-position model. The record is from RNAcentral.
AGUGAACGCUGGCGGUAGGCCUAACACAUGCAAGUCGAACGGCAGCACAGUAAGAGCUUGCUCUUACGGGUGGCGAGUGGCGGACGGGGGGGGAAUACAUCGGAAUCUACUUUUUCGUGGGGGAUAACGUAGGGAAACUUACGCUAAUACCGCAUACGACCUACGGGUGAAAGCAGGGGACUUUCGGACCUUGCGCGACUGAGUGAGACGAUGUCGGAUUAGCUGGUUGGCGGGGUAAAGGCCCACCAAGGCGACGAUCCGUAGCUGGUCUGAGAGGAUGGUCAGCCACACUGGUACUGAGGCACGGUCCAGACUCCUACGGGAGGCAGCAGUGGGGAAUAUUGGACAAUGGGCGCAAGCCUGCUCCAGCCAUACCGCGUGGGUGGAGGAGGCCUUCGGGUUGUAAAGCCCUUUUGUUGGGAAAGAAGAGCAGCAGGUUAAUACCCCGCUGUUCUGACGGUACCCAAAGAAUAAGCACCGGCUAACUUCGUG